Molecule: ribosomal RNA, 467 nt
Filed under: uncultured bacterium
Lineage: Bacteria
Description: partial 16S ribosomal RNA
Rfam family: Bacterial small subunit ribosomal RNA
Source: RNAcentral
GACGAACGCUGGCGGCGUGCUUAACACAUGCAAGUCGAACGGAAAGGCCUCUUUCGGGGGGUACUCGAGUGGCGAACGGGUGAGUAACACGUGAGUAACCUGCCCUUGACUUUGGGAUAACUUCAGGAAACUGGGGCUAAUACCGGAUAGGAGCUCCUGCUGCAUGGUGGGGGUUGGAAAGUUUCGGCGGUUGGGGAUGGACUCGCGGCUUAUCAGCUUGUUGUUGGGGUAGUGGCUUACCAAGGCUUUGACGGGUAGCCGGCCUGAGAGGGUGACCGGCCACAUUGGGACUGAGAUACGGCCCAGACUCCUACGGGAGGCAGCAGUGGGGAAUAUUGCACAAUGGGUGGAAGCCUGAUGCAGCAACGCCGUGUGCGGGAUGACGGCCUUCGGGUUGUAAACCGCUUUCGCUCAUGACGAAGCUUUGUGUGACGGUAGUGGGUAAAGAAGCACCGGCUAACUACGUG